GGCCGGUUAGCUCAGUUGAUCAGAGAGUUGUGCUAAUAACACGAAGGUCGCAGGUUCGAUGCCCGUACGGGCCA
Dallia pectoralis (Alaska blackfish) is the source of this 74-nucleotide non-coding RNA. The record is from the annotation of a GenBank genome assembly. Lineage: Eukaryota; Metazoa; Chordata; Actinopteri; Esociformes; Umbridae.